GUGCUUGCUUCAUCAGCACAUACACUAAAAUUGGGACGAUAUAGAGAAGAUUAGCACAGACCCUGCGCAAGGAUGACACGGAAAUUCGUGAAGCGUUCGUAUUUAUA
RNAcentral lists this small nuclear RNA (107 nucleotides) under Chinchilla lanigera (long-tailed chinchilla). The record is from RNAcentral. Lineage: Eukaryota; Metazoa; Chordata; Mammalia; Rodentia; Chinchillidae.